This 742-nucleotide ribosomal RNA is filed under the name uncultured cyanobacterium. RNAcentral's name for it is "bacterial SSU rRNA". It matches the Rfam family "Bacterial small subunit ribosomal RNA", at positions 8 to 796 of the family's 1533-position model. Lineage: Bacteria; Bacillati; Cyanobacteriota. The record is from RNAcentral.
AGAGUUUGAUCAUGGCUCAGGAUGAACGCUGGCGGUAUGCUUAACACAUGCAAGUCGAACGGACUCUUCGGAGUUAGUGGCGGACGGGUGAGUAACGCGUGAGAAUCUGGCUUCAGGUUCGGGACAACAGUUGGAAACGGCUGCUAAUACCGGAUGUGCCUUAUGGUGAAAGAUUUAUCACCUGAAGAUGAGCUCGCGUCUGAUUAGCUAGUAGGUGUGGUAAGAGCGCACCUAGGCGACGAUCAGUAGCUGGUCUGAGAGGAUGAUCAGCCACACUGGGACUGAGACACGGCCCAGACUCCUACGGGAGGCAGCAGUGGGGAAUUUUCCGCAAUGGGCGAAAGCCUGACGGAGCAAUACCGCGUGAGGGAGGAAGGCUCUUGGGUUGUAAACCUCUUUUCUCAGGGAAGAAUGAUGACGGUACCUGAGGAAUAAGCAUCGGCUAACUCCGUGCCAGCAGCCGCGGUAAUACGGAGGAUGCAAGCGUUAUCCGGAAUGAUUGGGCGUAAAGCGUCCGCAGGUGGCAAUGUAAGUCUGCUGUCAAAGCGUCUGGCUCAACCAGAUAAAGGCAGUGGAAACUACAUAGCUAGAGUAAGGUAGGGGUAGAGGGAAUUCCUGGUGUAGCGGUGAAAUGCGUAGAGAUCAGGAAGAACACCGGUGGCGAAAGCGCUCUGCUGGACCUUAACUGACACUGAGGGACGAAAGCUAGGGGAGCGAAUGGGAUUAGAUACCCCAGUAGUCC